Mercurialis annua (annual mercury) is the source of this 700-nucleotide long non-coding RNA. RefSeq lists it as uncharacterized. The transcript is spliced from 4 exons. Lineage: Eukaryota; Viridiplantae; Streptophyta; Magnoliopsida; Malpighiales; Euphorbiaceae. The record is from RefSeq and is a predicted model, not a curated record.
AAGACACCUAUUACUCCCACCUCUUCAUUUCUCUAGCCAAGAUUAAAUUGAGAUUUUAAAAAGCAAUUGAAAACCUAAAACUUCUCAUUUUUGCUCCAUGAAUACCGAUCACCAUCACCAUCACUUAGUUCAUCAUUUGUUUCAUGGAAUUUGAUGAUGUUAGAGGCCAAAUGAUCAUAAGACAAUGAGGAACCAAGGUGGAAAGUUAUGGUUUUUGGAGCAAAUUUUGGAGUUUUGAUGAUGAAUUCUUGAAGAAAUUGGUUUGGCCAAGAGGUUAAAUUAUCAAGCUCAAGACUCAACGAAGCGACUAUCGAUAAGGCUCGAGGCAAACGGAUCAAAAUAUCGUCAUGCUUAUUUGAAGAAUUUGGAUAGCAAGUGGGAUAGUAUGAUAUGAUUUGAAGAGUCAAGCUUCCGAAGUUUUAAUUCUCGGAAGUCAUUUGCACAAGAAGUGAAAGAAGGUUUUCAUUCUAGCGGUCCGCAGUAGUCUAGAUGUUUUUUUCUAUGUAUUUGUCUAGCGCAUUUUAACUCUGAUAUUUUUGUAAAAUGGGGUCACAUGUAUUUUGAUAUAUGAAAAAUGAUUUGAUUUGCGAAAAAUUUACACAGGAUUUUAGGCUUGCUACGGGUUUCGGAGCUACCACUCCCAUUCCCUAGCGCCGGUCGCGACUCAUAAAUUUGGGUCGUGACAUGAAGCAUAUGGAUG